RNAcentral lists this ribosomal RNA (339 nucleotides) under uncultured Acidobacteriota bacterium. Its description in RNAcentral is "bacterial SSU rRNA". It matches the Rfam family "Bacterial small subunit ribosomal RNA", at positions 494 to 832 of the family's 1533-position model. Lineage: Bacteria; Pseudomonadati; Acidobacteriota. The record is from RNAcentral.
CGGCUAACUACGUGCCAGCAGCCGCGGUAAUACGUAGGGGGCGAGCGUUGUUCGGAAUUACUGGGCGUAAAGGGUGCGUAGGCGGUUCUCUAAGUCUGGUGUGAAAUCUCCCGGCUCAACUCGGAGGGUGCGCCGGAAACUGGAGGGCUUGAGUGUGGGAGAGGAGAGUGGAAUUCCCGGUGUAGCGGUGAAAUGCGUAGAUAUCAGGAGGAACACCUGUGGCGAAGGCGGCUCUCUGGACCAUUACUGACGCUGAGGCACGAAAGCUUGGGGAGCAAACAGGAUUAGAUACCCUGGUAGUCCACGCCCUAAACGAUGCAUACUUGGUGUGGGCGGUUC